UGGGUGUGGUGGGGCAGGCCUGUAAUCCCAGCUACUCAGGAGGCUGAGGCAGGAGAAUCACUUGAACCUGGGAGGCGGAGGUUGCAGAGUCGAGAUCAUGCCAUUGCCCUCCAGCCUGGGCGACUGAGUGAGACUCCAUCUUAAAAAAAAAAAAAAAAAAAGUCUUUUAUUACUUUUUGAGCAUUUAAAGAGUAUUUUUUGGCCAGACGGUGUGGCUCACGCCUGUAAUCCCAGUAUUUUGGGAGGCCCAGGCGGGUGGAUCACUUGAAGCCUCCAGCCUGGCCAACAUGGCAGGAGAAUGACUGGAACCCGGGAGGUGGAUGUUGCAGUGAGCCAAGAUGGUGUCACUGCACUCCAGCCUGGGUGACAGAGAGAGACUCUGUCUCAAAGACAAAAAGAAAAUUUGUUCAGUAUUUUCUUCAAUCAGCUUUCUCAGACUGAAUGUUCACCCUUUUAAAUAUUCAUAAUGUUCCUGAGAAUCCAUUUGGCUAUUCUGUUUUCUUCACCCUUCUCCAGCCUUCCCCUCCUCAAUUCGACCCAUUUCUUCCCUACUUCCCAAAAGAAAAAAUAUCUACUUUGGAUUAAUAUAAAUCAGUUUAAUCUAACUUAUUCAAGACUUUUUUGGCCUCUACUUGGAGGUUCAAGAAAAGGUGUGUCAGGCCUCUGAGCCCAAGCUAAGCCAUCAUAUCCCCUGUGACCUGCACAUACACAUCCAGAUGGCCGGUUCCUGCCUUAACUGAUGACAUUCCACCACAAAAGAAGUGAAAAUGGCCUGUUCCUGCCUUAACUGAUGACAUUGUCUUGUGAAAUUCCUUUUCCUGGCUCAUCCUGUCUCAAAAAGCUCCCCUACUGAGCACCCUGUGACCCCCACUCUGUCCGCCAGAGAACAACACCCCUUUGACUGUAAUUUUCCUUUAUCUACCCAAAUCCUAUAAAACAGCCGCACCCUUAUCUUCCUUCGCUGACUCUCUUUUUGGACUCAGCCCGCCUGCACCCAGGUGAAAUAAACAGCCAUGUUGCUCACACAAAGCCUGUUUGGUGGUCUCUUCACACGCACGAGCAUGAAAGUGAGAAACAUGGAUUCAGUCAAGAAGCCCUUCUGAAGGAGUAGAAGGCCCUAGAUUCCCAGAACUGGGGCUCUGGCUAUGUUGCCCAGGCUGGUCAUAAACUCCUGGCCUCAAGUGAUCCUCCUGCCUCGGCCUCCCAAAGUGCUGGGAUUACAGGUGAGCUAUUGUACCCAGCCCAACAUAGAAUUCUAUUUCCAGUUAAAUUAUCCUUCCAAAAUGAAGGAUAAAUAAAGACUUUCUUAGACAAAAACUGAGGGAAUUCACAUCCAGCUGACUUGCUCUGUAAGAAAUGUUAUUGAGAGAGGGAAAAUGAUAAGUAGGAAACUCAGUUCUUCUUUUUUUUUUUUUAGUUUUGUUCUUUCACCCAGGCUGGAAUUAAGUGGCACAAUCUCGGCUCACUGCAACCUCUGCCCCCCAGGUUCAAGCCAUUUUCCUGCCUCAGCCUCCCCAGUAGCUGGGAUUAUAGGUGACCGCCACCACACCCAUCUAAUUUUUGUAUUUUUAGUAGAGAUGGUGUUUCGCCAGGUUGGCCAGGCUGGUCUCGAACCCCUGACCUUAGGCAAUCUGCCUGUUCGGGCUCCCAAAGUGCUAGGAUUACAGGUGUGAGCCACUGUGCCUGGCUGGAAACUCAGUUCUAUAUAAAGAAAAGCAAUGGGAAAGGAAUAAGGAAAGGUAAACAAACAACAAAAACAAUUUAGCUUGUCCUGGUGCAUGUGCCUGUAAUCCCAACUACUGGAGAGGCUGAGGCGGGAGGAUCCCUUGAGGCCAGGAGUUUGAGGCAUUAUUGGGCUAUGAUAGCGCCUGUGAAUAGCCACUGCACUCCAGCCUUGGCAACAAAGUGAGACCCCAUCUCUAAAAAAAGAGCUGCCAGUUUCAAAAUCCUUUGUUUAGUUUACAACUUGAAUAUAUUCUCUUAUUUUCUGGGCUGAGCGCAGUGGCUCAUGCCUGUAAUCCCAGCACUUUGGGAGGCUGAGGCGGGUGGAUCACCUGAGGUCAGGAGUUUGAGACUAGUCUGGCCAACAUGGUGAAACCCCAUCUCUACUAAAAAUAUAAGAAAUUAGCCAGGCGUGGUGGUGGGUGCCUGUAAUCCCAGCUACUAAAGAGGCUGAGGCAGGAGAAUCACUUGAACCUAGGAGGCGGAGGUUGCAGUGAGCUGAGAUCCAGCCUGGGCAACAAGAGUGAAACUCCAUCUCAAAAAAAAAAUUUUUUUUUUCUGGAAAUAUGUGAAAACGACAUGCAUUCAUGAAAUUCUAGCACAUCACCAAUUAUCUUGUACAUAUUAUUUCCUCUGCAUAGGGUAGCCUUGGCUCUUCCCUCUUAGCCUGAAAAGAUCCUUUGAGACUUUUUAAACAUUUUUUUAAAAAUAGAGACAAGGUCUUGCUAUGGCCCAGGCUGGUCUUGAAUUCCUGGACUCCAGUGAUCCUCCCACCUUGGCCUCCUAAAGUGCUGGGACUACAGGCAUAAGCCACCGUGGCCCAGCCGAUCCUUUGAGAUUUAGUUCAAAUGAAGGCAAGAAAGGGUAGUGAUUAAAAAGUAGGUGUUUGAACUGAAGCUCUGCACUAGGUCCUCAGGCAAGCCUCAUUACCUGAGUUUUCUUUUUUUUUUUUUUGAGACACAGUCUUGCUCUGUCACCCAGGCUGGAGUACAGUGACACGAUCUUGACUCACUACAGCCUCCACCUCCCGGGUUCCAGCGAUUCUCCUGCUUCAGCCUCCCGAGUAGCUGGGACUACAGGCAUGUGCCACCAUGCCGGGCUAAUUUUUGUAUUUUUAAUAGAGAUGGGAUUUCACCAUGUUGGCCAGGCUGGUCUCGAACUCUUGACCUCAGGUGAUCCAGCCGCCUUGGCCUCCCAAAGUGCUGGGAAUACAGGCAUGAGCCACCACACCCAGCCACCGGAGUUUUCUUUAAAAGAACACUGUAGAGUUUUUUUUUUUUUUUAGUGUUGUAAUAAAUGAGACAAGAUACAAAGCAGUUAGCAUAGUACCUACCUCACAACAAAAGUGCUCAAUAUAUGAUAACCAUAAUAAAUACAACACCUCAAAGUCUUCCCUAACAUUCCCAGGGAGAAUACUAUUUAUUUGUGCUUCCAAAUAUUAUGUUUAUACUUCUAUUUGAGCAUUUGUCACAAAUUAUAUUAUUUGCCCACAUAAAUGUGCAUUCUUGGGAGCUAGAAUGGUGCCCUAUGCAAUGUUUUAUUGUCAGUGCCUAGCAAGUGCCCAUCAAUUUGUAAGUACUCAAUAUUUUUUUGAUGAAUGAAUUAUAGACAAUAAGAUAUAGGGUGGCGUUCUCCAAUUUUAACAUGCAAGCUUUUAGAGUUUCUUUUUUUUUGAGACGGAGUCUCGCUCUAUCGCCCAGGCUGGAGUGUAGAGGCGCAAUCUUGGCUCACUGCAACCUCCGCCUCCCAGAUUCAAGCAAUUCUCCUGCCUCAGCCUCCUGAGUAGCUGGGAUUACAGGAGUGCGCCACUAUGGCCAGCUAAUUUUGUAUUUUUAGUAGAGAUGGGGUUUCACCAUGUUGGCCAGGCUGGUCUUGAACUCCUGACCUCAGAUGAUCCGCCCGCCUCGGCCUCCCAAAGUGCUGGGAUUACAGGCAUGAGCCAUCGCGCCUGGCUGAGAAUUUCUUUAAAAUGCAGCUUCCUCCUAACUCCAGAGACUGAUUUACUAGGAUCUGCAUUUUAGCAAGCUACCCUCCUAUCUCACACACACAUUUUGGUGCAAUGGUCUUUGCAAUAUACUUUGAGAAACAUUGUAUAAAGCAUGACUUAUGGAAAUAGUACUUUGUCUUAAAUAAAAAUAUUAGAAAAGUAUAAACAAUCCUAAUAAACAAAUGUAUUAUUGUCCCUUGUGCUAUAGAUAAAGAAAGGGAGAACAAUAAGCCAAUUAUAAGCACACU
RNAcentral lists this long non-coding RNA (3957 nucleotides) under Homo sapiens (human). RNAcentral's name for it is "HSALNT0015008". Lineage: Eukaryota; Metazoa; Chordata; Mammalia; Primates; Hominidae. The record is from RNAcentral.